AAGAGCAUGCAUACCUGCCCUAGCGCGCGGGAACGGACCUCUCCCGCGGCGAUUGGGGGAAAGGCAGGGGAGUUAAGGGGACCCCUAGGGGUGCCCCUACGGCCUACCAGGGUUGGACGCACAGGCAUGGUCACGUCGGGGUAUUGCCAAGCUUUUGGCACAGCUGGUCAGGUGGCCAGACUGCACGCAGCUUAGAUGGAGACGUCUUGAGCUGUUUGCGCAGGACCUCUAGAGGCCCUCCAGGUGGUGGCAAGCGGAAGGGUGAAGCGGCACUAGGAACAGGCUGGAGAAGGGGGUCGCGUCUAACAUCAGAAUAACUUACAAUUCUUCCCCAAAGAGCGCGGCACCCGCUGAGCUGGGAAAAGGUGUUGAAUCAGGCGCCAGUCCUUGGACGAUCAGUCGACAGGGGGACAGGACUCAAUUUCCUCCCAACAAAACACCUUUGUUGAAUCACAGCCUGCCCAGGUAUAUGCUGUGUGACCGUGAGCAGGUCACAUCAUUCUCUCUGAGACCCUGUUUCCUGAUAUGUUGGGUGCUGAAACUCACGUCAAAAGGGCCUGUGGGGUUUACAAGAGCCGAUCUGUGUACAGAGGUCAGCAAGCUACAGCCACGGGAGUUAAAAUCACUACCACAAUGGCAAAGAGCCCUGGAAAACACUGCAGGCUCCAUUCUAUCCACUGAAAAAUCCAAAGGGCUGAGCAGCUCACCUGUCUCUCCCAAACUAGGAUCCAGGCAAUGAGAGGUGCUGGUGCUUGGGUGGGUGCACAGCAGCAUCUAGUGGACUAGAAGGAGAACUGACGAAGUGUCACAAUGACAUUGGGAAGAGAAAGUUUCAAGGCUAGGAAAAGGUUGGCAGAGAAGUCAGGAAGGAGGCCGGCAUGCUGAGUGUCCCCAGCAGGGAGAUCAGAUGAGGUCCCUUAACAGUCCUCAGGACCUCAAGCCCCCGUGCGCUAGCUGAGGGCGUCCUUCUCCCUCUUGCAGCACCCCCCUGGGUGCUGGGUCUCCUGGUCCUAAGGGCUCAGGGGCCCAACUUUUUCAAGUUCUGUUCCAUGUGUUUUCAGCUGCUCCAUGUGCCUCCAGCUGAGGGCACUGACCCCACUGCCCCAGUCCCCAGUGCUCAGAGGCCAGGAUAGUAGAAAGCUCUGUGCCAGGGUACAGCCAAGGCGUCCUCCACACCUCUGGCCCACACAUUGGCAGCUGGGCCCUGUGUCACUCUGACACCAGAUCCUAGGGUUUCUGGCUCUGCCAUCUCUGCUGUGAGGCUCCAUUCCAAUCACAUGGCUCAGCAGGGGGGGCACUAUACCUGUCCCUUCCCCUUCUCUGUACUCCUUCUGCUUUCCUGCAUGCCCUGUACGGGAGCCCUCUUCCCUCCUCCUACUGCCGAAAGAAUUCAGAAGAUACCAACUUUCUCCUCUUUUCCCAUCUCCAGUGGAGGUCCUAGCAGGACCCCCUCAUAAGCCGUGAAGGUUAAAUGGGAGAAGUUGUACUGAGCUUGAAGCACAGGCAGGUCCCACAGCAAAUGCUCAAAAACUGGAAGCCACCAUCUGCAUCAUCCCCAUCAACCAGAGGAGCAAAGAGCCUGCCUUUUCUGAGAAGAGCAUUUACAUAUUGAUAGAAAUUCCUUGAUUAUAUUUAUCAUCACCAAUUUUAAGGAUUUGCAAAGCUGUCCUGCAGCCUCAGGAGUGGCAGAAGGACCUAAAACCCUGAGAAAUCACUUGACUCAUUGGGCAGAGGAUGAGGAAACAGAUCUCUGUGUCGGAACAGUAUCGGGGAAAUUUCUUUUUGUUUCUUUCUGUACUUCAUUUGGAAGGCUGACUUAGAUGCAUGUAACUGCACAGCAGCACAGGGGACUGCAGCAUUGAUAGGAGCAUGAGAAAAGAACCCUGCAAGCCUGAUGUGUGCAAGAGGAGAUAGCUAAAAGGGAUUCGUUAAAUGGAUGUAUGAACUAACACAAGUCUUAGGAUUACCCUGAGCUAUGCAGGCACAGAAGCAGAGCAAGGGCUUUGAGAACUGAACUAUAAUACAAACCACAACUCAACUGCCAGAUUUACCCGAGUGUUGCAUGAGCCAUGUGGACACACCAGCAUAGCAAUGGCCCGAAAACUGCACUGAGACUGGAACAACUGCCAGAGAAAACAAGACAGGGCUGGGUAUGGUGGCUCAUGCCUGUAAUUCCAGCACUUUGGGAGGCCAAGGUGAGCAGAUCAUGCGGUCAGGAGUUCAAGACCAGCCUGGCCAACAUAGUGAAACCCCGUCUCUACUAAAAAUGUGAAAAGUAGCUGGGCGUAGUGGUGGGCACCUGUAAUCCCAGCUACUUGGGAGGCUGAGGCAGCAGAAUAGCUUGAACCCAGGAGGCAGAGGUUGCAGUGAGCUGAGACUGCACCACAGCACUCCAGCCUGGGCAACAGUGCAAGGCUCCAUCUCAAAAAAAAAAAUAAAUAAAUAAAUAAAUAAAAAGUAAAUGAAAGAAAACAAGACAGAACGUGGUUUCAUCUAAACUAUGUUGAAUGCUCAAUACAACAACAACAAAAUGAACAUUCUCUGACAGAUUUUAGUAGGAACCAGAAUCUCACAACAUGAUGAGCAAACUGUCCAGAUCCUCUCUGAAAUUAUGCAGUAGAACAUAAGACAACGCUGACCAACUCUCAAGGAAAAGACAAUCAACAAUCCAGCCUUGAAAUGACCCACAGGAAGGAACAAUUUAUAUUUUAAUUGGAAGUUUGGUUAAAAUUUAAUUCUAGUUAAAGUUAUAAUUACAUUUAAAAUGUAAAGAGAAAGUGUCUAUUAUAACUAUUCUCAAAAAAUAAAAAUAAAGGUUAGUACUCUUAAAAUUAAUGGGAAGAUACAAGUCCUCAGCGGAAAAGAAGAAAUUAUAAAUAAGAAGCAAAUGGAAAUCUUAAAUGCAUAUGCAAUGUCUAAAAUAAAAAAUAUACUGAUUAGACUCAAUUAUAGACUGGAGAAAAAAAUAAUCAGUGAAAUGGAAGAUAGUUGAAUAGAAAUGAUACAAUAUGAAGAACAAAGAAAUAAAGAUUGAGCAGUAAUCCUCUGAACCGCAGAGAUGUGCGGGACACUAACAGCAUCUCUAACUCUGCCCAUUAGAGUGCCUGAGAGAAAGAAGAUAAUGCAGAAAAAAAAAUGAGGGUAAAUUGGCUGAAAACCUCCCAAAUUUGUGAAACAUAGAUCCAAGAAGGUCAGAAAAGCCUCACCCUCAUAGAUCGUAACAGCCUGCUCAAAAUCAAACAAAAGAAAAAUAUCUAGAAAACAGGGGGAAAAUAUCACAUUAUACAUGAGGAAAUUACAAUAUGAAUCCUUGCAAUUUCUCAGAAAGAUGCCAGAAGAAAGCAGAACAACAUUUUUAAAUGUUAAAAAAGAUAACUGGCCAUGCGUGGUGGCUCACACCUGUAAUCCCAGCACUUUGGGAGGCUGAGGCAGGUGGAUCACAAGGUCAGGAGUUCAAGAUCUGCCUGACCAACAUGGUGAAAUCCUGUCUCUACUAAAAAUACAAAAAUUAGCUGGGCGUGGUGGCAGGCACCUAUAAUCCCAGCUACUCAGGAGGCUGAGGCAGGAGAAUUGCUUGAACCUCGGAAGUGGAGGUUGCAGGAGCUGAGAUCAUACCACUGCACUCUAACCUGAGUGACAGAGCGAGAUUCUGUCUCAGAAGAAAAAAAAAAGGGAAAGAAAAAGAGAACUAUCAACCCAAGAUACUACAUGCAGCAAAAAUAUCUUUAAAGAUUGAAAGAGGGGCCAGGCGUGGUGGCUCAAGCCUGUAAUCCCAGCACUUUGGGAGGCUGAGGCGGGGGUAGAUCAUGAGGUCAAGAGAUCGAGACCAUGCUGGUCAACAUGGUGAAACCCCGUCUCUACUAAAAAUAGAAAAAAUUAGCUGGGCACGGUGGCGUGUGCCUGUAAUCCCAGCUACUCAGGAGGCUGAGGCAGGAGAAUUGCCUGAACCCAGGAGGCGGAGGUUGUGGUGAGCCAAGAUCGCGCCAUUGCACUCCAGCCUAGGUAACAAGAGUGAAACUCCAUCUCAAAAAAAAAAAAAAAAGAUUGAAGGAGGAAAAGGAAAAAAAAAAUGAAUGACAUGGAUUUUGGAAAAAAAGCUAAGCGA
Long non-coding RNA from Callithrix jacchus (white-tufted-ear marmoset), 4105 nucleotides. RefSeq lists it as uncharacterized. Lineage: Eukaryota; Metazoa; Chordata; Mammalia; Primates; Cebidae. The record is from RefSeq and is a predicted model, not a curated record.